Molecule: ribosomal RNA, 254 nt
Filed under: uncultured bacterium
Lineage: Bacteria
Description: partial 16S ribosomal RNA
Rfam family: Bacterial small subunit ribosomal RNA
Source: RNAcentral
UACGUAGGGGGCAAGCGUUGUCCGGAAUCAUUGGGCGUAAAGCGCGUGUAGGCGGCCCGGUAAGUCCGCUGUGAAAGUCGGGGGCUCAACCCUCGGAUGCCGGUGGAUACUGUCGGGCUAGAGUGCGGGAGAGGCGAGUGGAAUUCCUGGUGUAGCGGUGAAAUGCGCAGAUAUCAGGAGGAACACCAAUUGCGAAGGCAGCUCGCUGGAACGUAACUGACGCUGGAGGCGCGAAAGCGUGGGGAGCAAACGGG